AGCAGCCGCGGUAAUUCCAGCUCCAAUAGCGUAUAUUAAAGUUGUUGCAGUUAAAAGCUCGUAGUUGAAUUUCGGGAUCAGUAUGUUGGUCGUGCUUCGGUACGUACUGUCAUUACUGGCUUCUACCUUCUGAAGAACCUUGAUGUCAUUAAUUUGGUGUCUUUGGGAGUCAGGACUGUUACUUUGAAAAAUUAGAGUGUUUAAAGCAAGCAUACGCUUGAAUACAUUAGCAUGGAAUAAUGAAAUAGGACGUUUGAUUCUAUUUUGUGGUUUCUAGGAUCGACGUAAUGAUUAAUAGGGAUAGUUGGGGGCAUUAGUAUUCAAUUGUCAGAGGUGAAAUUCUUGGAUUUAUUGAAGACUAACUACUGCGAAAGCAUUUGCCAAGGAUGUUUUCAUUAAU
RNAcentral lists this ribosomal RNA (400 nucleotides) under uncultured Glomeromycotina. RNAcentral describes it as "SSU rRNA". It matches the Rfam family "Eukaryotic small subunit ribosomal RNA", at positions 569 to 977 of the family's 1831-position model. Lineage: Eukaryota; Fungi; Glomeromycota. The record is from RNAcentral.